Molecule: ribosomal RNA, 803 nt
Filed under: uncultured bacterium
Lineage: Bacteria
Description: bacterial SSU rRNA
Rfam family: Bacterial small subunit ribosomal RNA
Source: RNAcentral
AGAGUUUGAUUCUGGCUCAGGAUGAACGCUGGCGGCGUGCCUAACACAUGCAAGUCGAGCGAAGCGCUUUUCUUAGAUUCUUCGGAUGAAGAGGAUUGUGACUGAGCGGCGGACGGGUGAGUAACGCGUGGGUAACCUGCCUCAUACAGGGGGAUAACAGUUAGAAAUGACUGCUAAUACCGCAUAAGACCACAGCACCGCAUGGUGCAGGGGUAAAAACUCUGGUGGUAUGAGAUGGACCCGCGUCUGAUUAGCUAGUUGGUAAGGUAACGGCUUACCAAGGCGACGAUCAGUAGCCGACCUGAGAGGGUGACCGGCCACAUUGGGACUGAGACACGGCCCAAACUCCUACGGGAGGCAGCAGUGGGGAAUAUUGCACAAUGGGGGAAACCCUGAUGCAGCGACGCUGCGUGAGCGAAGAAGUAUUUCGGUAUGUAAAGCUCUAUCAGCAGGGAAGAAAAUGACGGUACCUGACUAAGAAGCACCGGCUAAAUACGUGCCAGCAGCCGCGGUAAUACGUAUGGUGCAAGCGUUAUCCGGAUUUACUGGGUGUAAAGGGAGCGUAGACGGAUGGGCAAGUCUGAUGUGAAAACCCGGGGCUCAACCCCGGGACUGCAUUGGAAACUGUUCAUCUAGAGUGCUGGAGAGGUAAGUGGAAUUCCUAGUGUAGCGGUGAAAUGCGUAGAUAUUAGGAGGAACACCAGUGGCGAAGGCGGCUUACUGGACAGUAACUGACGUUGAGGCUCGAAAGCGUGGGGAGCAAACAGGAUUAGAUACCCUGGUAGUCCACGCCGUAAACGAUG